RNAcentral lists this ribosomal RNA (202 nucleotides) under uncultured bacterium. RNAcentral describes it as "partial 16S ribosomal RNA". It matches the Rfam family "Bacterial small subunit ribosomal RNA", at positions 524 to 724 of the family's 1533-position model. The record is from RNAcentral.
UACGUAGGGAGCAAGCGUUGUCCGGAAUCAUUGGGCGUAAAGCGCGCGUAGGUGGCCAUGUAAGUCCGCUGUGAAAGUCAAAGGCUCAACCUUUGAAAGCCGGUGGAUACUGCACGGCUAGAGUACGGAAGAGGCGAGUGGAAUUCCUGGUGUAGCGGUGGAAUGCGCAGAUAUCAGGAGGAACACCAGUAGGCGAAGGCAG